This 664-nucleotide small RNA is filed under the name Histoplasma capsulatum. RNAcentral describes it as "hypothetical RNA". Lineage: Eukaryota; Fungi; Ascomycota; Eurotiomycetes; Onygenales; Ajellomycetaceae. RNAcentral also lists the same sequence under 1 other name. The record is from RNAcentral.
AGAGAUGCUGAUAAUAGAUCCAAGGCGCAUUUGGGAUCCGCGGUUCCAGUUCAGAUGCGUGGCCCACUGUCUGUUUCUAGUAGCUAUUGUUGCUUCUCAUUCUGGGUAUUUGUAUUUGAUCUGCCCCGCCAAUUUCCCUGCGCCAGAUCGUGGAUGCAUGAUGAUGGAUAAUAAUAGAUGAUGGAUAGUAGAUAAUAGAUACUAGGCGAUGGAUGCAACACGCCCACGUCUCUCCAGACAUGGCAAUCCCUCACGCGAUCGGAGAUCCCCUUUCCUGCCUUUCCUGCCUUUCCGGGAAUCAGGCCCGGGGAUGACGACGUGCUGUGACGUAUACACUUUUUUGGGCUGCGUUGUAUAUAGAUAGCGAUGGCUGUGCGCCGUGCGACGUCGGGCUGCUGUAUUAUACAUCAUCUAUCUGUAUGGAGAGGGGGAGAUAUAUUUGUACCUUGUAGAUACACAUACAUACAUAUAUAUGGAUAUGGAUAUAUAUAUAAUAUGUAGUACUGGCAUUCGUAAGAGGUCGGUGCGGCGGGGAUGUUAUAUACGGAUAUAUAUGUUGAUAUAACUAUCUAAGGUGGCAAGAGACAUCGCUUCUGCCGGGGAAAGGGGUAGUUCUCGAGGAAAUAUGGAAUAUGGAGAAUGGAAAUCAGGAGUGUUGCUACAG